This 429-nucleotide ribosomal RNA is filed under the name Chloroflexota bacterium. Its description in RNAcentral is "Chloroflexi bacterium partial 16S ribosomal RNA". It matches the Rfam family "Bacterial small subunit ribosomal RNA", at positions 355 to 776 of the family's 1533-position model. The record is from RNAcentral. Lineage: Bacteria; Bacillati; Chloroflexota.
UGGGGAAUAUUGCACAAUGGGCGCAAGCCUGAUGCAGCCAUGGCGCGUGUAUGAAGAAGGCCUUCGGGUUGUAAAGUACUUUCAGUCGGGAGGAAGGUGGUAAGGUUAAUAACCUUGGCAAUUGACGUUACCGACAGAAGAAGCACCGGCUAACUCCGGGCCAGCAGCCGCGGUAAUACGGAGGGUGCAAGCGUUAAUCGGAAUUACUGGGCGUACAGCGCACGCAGGCGGUUGAUUGAGUCAGAUGUGAAAUCCCCGGGCUUAACCCGGGAAUUGCAUCUGAUACUGGUCAGCUAGAGUCUUGUAGGGGGGGGUAGAAUUCCAUGUGUAGCGGUGAAAUGCGUAGAGAUGUGGAGGAAUACCGGUGGCGAAGGCGGCCCCCUGGACAAAGCCUGACGCUCAGGUGCGAAAGCGUGGGGAGCAAACAGG